ACCACCUCUUGCCUUCCACAGGC
Molecule: microRNA, 23 nt
Filed under: Monodelphis domestica (gray short-tailed opossum)
Lineage: Eukaryota; Metazoa; Chordata; Mammalia; Didelphimorphia; Didelphidae
Description: mdo-miR-7372-3p
Source: miRBase by way of RNAcentral